Molecule: long non-coding RNA, 442 nt
Filed under: Rattus norvegicus (Norway rat)
Lineage: Eukaryota; Metazoa; Chordata; Mammalia; Rodentia; Muridae
Description: long non-coding RNA NONRATT026367
Source: RNAcentral
GCUUGGACCCCAGGCCCAGACGCUACAGUUCGCCGCGCUACGUCCCGCAUCUCACCCCCACUCCCUACUCCAUAGGGCAGAGUUAUACCCAGGUCCCACGUGCUCCGACUUGCAGAAGGGAACACCAGCUUGCAGACCCCCGCCCUCGCUCCAAAGCGCCUCCAUAGCUGUCCUCAUCCCUUUCCGUGCCACACUCAUAGCCCAGGUGCGGAUGACUCGGAGGAACAUUGAUUACGGGCUUCCGCAUGGUUUCCAGUGACAGCACAGACCACAAACAUGCCAUCCAGCUACAGAAGAAACAAAGACCCAGACAAGGCCCUCAGAGGCAGCCUGGACCACUAGCAUCAACAUGGCCUCAGGAGGCUGAAGUUAACUGGAUCAUUUGCUGCUCAUGGGCCAAGAAAGACAAAGCAAGGAGUGGUUAAUAAAAAGUUGAUGGAUU